RNAcentral lists this ribosomal RNA (253 nucleotides) under uncultured Christensenellaceae bacterium. RNAcentral describes it as "partial 16S ribosomal RNA". It matches the Rfam family "Bacterial small subunit ribosomal RNA", at positions 524 to 776 of the family's 1533-position model. The record is from RNAcentral. Lineage: Bacteria; Bacillati; Bacillota; Clostridia; Christensenellales; Christensenellaceae.
UACGUAGGGGGCGAGCGUUGUCCGGAAUUACUGGGCGUAAAGGGUGCGUAGGCGGCGCUCUAAGUCAGAUGUGAAAUAUCCAUGCUUAACGUGGAGGGUGCAUUUGAAACUGGAGCACUUGAGUGCAGGAGAGGAAAGUGGAAUUCCUAGUGUAGCGGUGAAAUGCGUAGAUAUUAGGAGGAACACCAGUGGCGAAGGCGACUUUCUGGACUGUAACUGACGCUGAGGCACGAAAGCGUGGGGAGCAAACAGG